GGCGGGGGCGAAGGGCUGCACGGCGGCUCCCUCACUGGCUGCUUCUCCUUGCAGGACGCGGGAGCCGCCGGCCACCCCCGCGGGGAAGCAGCCGYCGGCGGGGAGGGAGACGCGCCGGGCACCCACCCCAUCCCGGCCGGCCCCCGGCGCGGGGGGCCCCGAGGUGCCGAGCGGGAGGCGGGUGGGGGGCACCCCGGGGCAGAGCCCCCAGGAGCCCAGGGCGCGCGGCGGGUGCACAGCACCUGGGGCCCCGGUGCCACCGCCGAAAAGCACCCGGGCAGGAGGCCUGCGCGUGGCCCCCGCUGCCCGGCUGCAGGCAGGGGGGCUCAAACCCCCCAGUGGGGCCGCGCCGGCGGCUGCCCGAGCCCCCAGCCCCGUCACGGCGCUGCCCCCCUCCCCGCAGCAGGACGCCCGGGUCCCCGCGCCGCCCCGCAAAAGCCCCCUGGAAGGGGGCCGGGGAGCCCUGGGCCGGGGGCGCUCACCGUCGCCCCUCAAACCCGCCGGCAGCCCCAAGCCCCCCGGCAAAGCCGCCGCCGCCUGCCGCCCCCAGACCCCCCCGGCCUGUUUCCCAACGGGCUGCUGUGCCGGGGUGGGAGCCCGGCAAGGCCGCCCGGCCGCCAGCCCGUGGGAGCCCACGGUGGGGGGCGUCGCUGGCCCCCACGGCCGCCGGAGCCCGGCACCCCAGGGCUGCUCGGUGGAGCCGGCAUGGGGGUCCACGGCACGGGAGCGGGCGCUCUACCGCAGCCUGGAGGAGGAGAUCCUGGCCAACAUGAGGGUGCUGGGGGUGGCCGCGGAGGAAAACCACCGUCCGGAGGGAAAUUGGGAAAACCACCAUCCGGAGGGAAACCACAGUCCAGAGGGGAGCGUGGGCGGUGAUGUCCGGCCCCGCUGCAGCCCCACUGCAGCCAGUGGCACCCGGCCACCAAGCCCCCGGCCGGCAUGUCCCGCGGGGCCGCCCCAGAGCGGCGCCUGCACCCCCGACGGGGCGCCCAAGCGGCCUGGGUGCUACGCCAGCGUCGUGGAGGAGCUCUGCCGGGGCCGGCAGCCCCUGCGCCCCGUGGAGCUGAGCGGCUGGGUUGCAAAAAUCCCCCCCAAAGCUGCGCCAGGGCUCGCCGCGCUCCCAGCCGGCAGNNNNN
RNAcentral lists this long non-coding RNA (1136 nucleotides) under Apteryx haastii (Great spotted kiwi). RNAcentral describes it as "lncRNA (ENSAHAG00000006849.1)". The record is from RNAcentral. Lineage: Eukaryota; Metazoa; Chordata; Aves; Apterygiformes; Apterygidae.